Molecule: long non-coding RNA, 237 nt
Organism: Etheostoma spectabile (orangethroat darter)
Lineage: Eukaryota; Metazoa; Chordata; Actinopteri; Perciformes; Percidae
Exons: 2
Source: RefSeq, a predicted model, not a curated record
CACAUUUCAAAGUACGUAUUACAGCUACGGUAGCCUUCAUGCCUCAAAAAGCUGGUCUUUUGCUCUUUUCAACAUCCUUUUUUUCUGGGUGAAGAAGAUGACGACUGUUCCUGAAACUGGGAUUUUGAAUACAUAACGUGUGGUCCUCCAUGUUUCCUUCUUCAAACUUGCCAGGCCGGGAAGCCACAAUACCCAUUAGCAGCGUUAGCAGCAUCUGUAAGUUUAUCAUGUGACAGC